GGCCUAACACAUGCAAGUCGAGCGGAUGAAGAGAGCUUGCUCUCUGAUUCAGCGGCGGACGGGUGAGUAAUGCCUAGGAAUCUGCCUGGUAGUGGGGGACAACGUUUCGAAAGGAACGCUAAUACCGCAUACGUCCUACGGGAGAAAGUGGGGGAUCUUCGGACCUCACGCUAUCAGAUGAGCCUAGGUCGGAUUAGCUAGUUGGUGAGGUAACGGCUCACCAAGGCGACGAUCCGUAACUGGUCUGAGAGGAUGAUCAGUCACACUGGAACUGAGACACGGUCCAGACUCCUACGGGAGGCAGCAGUGGGGAAUAUUGGACAAUGGGCGAAAGCCUGAUCCAGCCAUGCCGCGUGUGUGAAGAAGGCCCUCGGGUCGUAAAGCACUUUAAGCUGGGAGGAAGGGUUGUAACCUAAUACGUUGCAGCUUUGACGUUACCAGCAGAAUAAGCACCGGCUAACUCUGUGCCAGCAGCCGCGGUUAUACAGAGGGUGCAAGCGUUAAUCGGAAUUACUGGGCGUAAAGCGCGCGUAGGUGGCUUGGUAAGUUGAACGUGAAAUCCCCGGGCUCAACCUGGGAACUGCAUCCAAAACUGCCUGGCUAGAGUACGGUAGAGGGUGGUGGAAUUUCCUGUGUAGCGGUGAAAUGCGUAGAUAUAGGAAGGAACACCAGUGGCGAAGGCGACCACCUGGACUGAUA
This 699-nucleotide ribosomal RNA is filed under the name uncultured Pseudomonadales bacterium. RNAcentral describes it as "bacterial SSU rRNA". It matches the Rfam family "Bacterial small subunit ribosomal RNA", at positions 45 to 739 of the family's 1533-position model. Lineage: Bacteria; Pseudomonadati; Pseudomonadota; Gammaproteobacteria; Pseudomonadales. The record is from RNAcentral.